Molecule: long non-coding RNA, 450 nt
Organism: Culex pipiens pallens (northern house mosquito)
Lineage: Eukaryota; Metazoa; Arthropoda; Insecta; Diptera; Culicidae
Exons: 3
Source: RefSeq, a predicted model, not a curated record
GAUCUCCUCAACCAAGAUGAAGUCAUUUUCGCCUGACCACUGGUAGCCCUAACCCCACACUAAAUGCAAUGAUUAUUAUGCAGUGGAAAAUGUAAACUUCACCUCGCCUCGGAAGAUAAAUCGUUGUUUUUUGCUGGAAAACUGAGCAGCAACGUUUCAUCGGAGUUCAUCAGUCAACGGGCUCAGCAAAUCUUCAACUUGAGGUAUUUCAGCAAUCAAACGAAUUCAAAAAUAUGCGAAGCUCAUGGCACAGUCGCAAGGACUCUAAUUAGACAAGUUUUAAUUAGUAUCUGGUUAACCUUUCGCUUUUUUUCGACAUGAGCUAACUAGAAGACCAGAUGAUGACAAAACAGAUGGUGGGAUCGGAAAAAUAAGUGAAAGUGAACGGUGGUGGAAUCAUCUGGCAUCAGUUAUAAUUCUGCAACAACAGCAAAAACACCUUGUCUGGAU